This 433-nucleotide long non-coding RNA is filed under the name Homo sapiens (human). RNAcentral describes it as "HSALNT0361281". Lineage: Eukaryota; Metazoa; Chordata; Mammalia; Primates; Hominidae. The record is from RNAcentral.
UUGGGAGGCUGAGGUGGGAGGAUCACGUGAGGUCAGGAGUUCGAGACCAGCCUGGCCAACAUAGUGAAACCCCAUCGCUACUAAAAAUACAGAAAUUAGCCAGGCGUGGUGGCACGGGUCUGUAGUCCCAGCUACUUGGGAGGCUGAGACGGGAGAACUGCUUGAAACCGGGAAGCAGUGGUUGCAGUGAGCCAAGAUGGUGCCAACAUACUCCAGCCUGGGCCACAGAACGAGACUCUGCCUCAAAAAUAAUAAUAAUAAAAUAACCAAAAGCAGUGGACAUGGUGGCGCACGCCUGUAGUCCCAGCUACUCUGGGAGGCUGAGGUGGGAGAAUCGCUUGAACCCGGAAGUUCAAGUGAGCUGAGAUCGCCCCACUGCACUCCAGCCUCGGCGACAGAGUGAGACUCUGUCUCAAAAAAAAAAAAAAAAAAA